Molecule: ribosomal RNA, 426 nt
Filed under: uncultured bacterium
Lineage: Bacteria
Description: partial 16S ribosomal RNA
Rfam family: Bacterial small subunit ribosomal RNA
Source: RNAcentral
GUGAGGAAUUUUCCGCAAUGGGCGAAAGCCUGACGGAGCAAUGCCGCGUGAAGGAUGAAGGCCUAUGGGUUGUAAACUUCUUUUCUCAGAAAAGAAUUAUGACGGUAUCUGAGGAAUAAGCAUCGGCUAACUCUGUGCCAGCAGCCGCGGUAAGACAGAGGAUGCAAGCGUUAUCCGGAAUGAUUGGGCGUAAAGCGUCUGUAGGUUGUUUAAAAAGUAUUCUGUCAAAGAUUAGGGCUUAACCCUAGAUAGGCAGAAUAAACUUUUAAGCUAGAGUGUGGUAGAGGCAGAGGGAAUUCCCGGUGGAGCGGUGAAAUGCGUAGAUAUCGGGAGGAACACCAAAGGCGAAGGCACUCUGCUGGGCCAAUACUAACACUGAGAGACGAAAGCGAGGGGAGCAAACGGGAUUAGAAACCCCUGUAGUCC